Long non-coding RNA from Piliocolobus tephrosceles (Ugandan red Colobus), 3603 nucleotides. RefSeq lists it as uncharacterized. The record is from RefSeq and is a predicted model, not a curated record. NCBI's taxonomy places the organism in Eukaryota, Metazoa, Chordata, Mammalia, Primates, Cercopithecidae. The transcript has 3 exons.
GAGGCAGGAACUGUUCCUCUUCAUUCUCUCUCUUCCAGCACAUUCUCUUUCUUCCAUUCUCUCUCUUCCAGUCCAUGGGACGGGUUCUGAGAGCAGUAUUGGAUGGACUUACUGCCAGUUAGAGGAAACACUGCUGUAUCAGAGGAAACCAGCCUGGGAUAUUCUCAUGAAAGCCUGCCAUGACUGAGGGCACUUCUAGAUAAAGAGGAACUAGAAACAUUUCUGGAUAAAAAGAGCUAUUUUUUUUAUCCUUAUCUCUAAUGCCCUGAUUUGAGGGAGUCAGAAGAUGGAGAAGAAGGAGGACAUUGAGGAAGGUCCAUUGACUAAUAAAUCCCAAUCCCAUCGUUGGUUCUUAAGACCGUGACACAUUGGACUAAGAGGGGCCAAAUCCUCAUUCCCUGAUAGUGACAUCAAAUUAACAAACAGAAACUGGCUAAAAUAAUUUUUGUAAGAAUUCUAGGAAAACAAAAAACUUCACCAACCAAAGGAAUGCUUAUUCAAGAAAAAUGCCAAAUCAAAAUAGUAUCAAAUUUUGUUGUGUUUUAGUUGCCCUUGCCCCACCCAUUUCUGCACAAAAUGAUUUUGAGCUGGAGGAGGUGGCAUUCCAGUUCCUAGUUCCCUCCCUCGAACCAAAGAGAGCAAAACAGCCAUGUCCUGCAAUGUUCUCACCUGUCCGGGGGCUCCCUGGAGGACUAGUCUCUAUAUUCACUACCUUGAAUCUCAGGUUGGGAUCCAAGAUUUGGAAAAGCAGCAGGGAGACCGAUUCCUACAGAUACUUGGAGAAAGACUUUACAGGUAGAGACAUAAAAUAGACCACCUAAGACUCCAAGGAGAAGCUGGGGUAAGAUCCCUUUGGAAAUUACAACAUAGAAAAUCAUCCAUGUAUAAGGAGACAUUUUAAAAAGUCACACUCAGACCCAGGCAAGACAUAUACUCAGAAAAAAACUGGAGAAGAACUUAAGCCUUAAUGCUGGGUUAAUUCCAAGGUAAAGAACAUAUCUAGCCUAUUGGAAAAGAACUGCUCCAGCACAGACCUGGUCUGCAAGACUGGGAGAGUUGGCUGUUUCUUCCACCCACCUUCUCCACCAAAAUCACAAGGCAUGAAAAGAAGCAGAACAACAUGGCUGAUUCAAAGAAAGAAAAUAAAGUGACAGAAAUCAUCUCUAAAACUACAUGUAUUACCUACUAGACAAAGGCUUUAAAACAACUCUCUUCAAUGUGCUCAAAGAGCUUAACAAGAAAUAUGGACUUGGAACUAUAGGAAAUCAGCAAAAAAUAUUAACAAAAUGAGAUUAUCAACAAAAAGAUAGAAAUAGUAAGGAAUUAACCAAACAGAAAUUCUGGAAAUAAAAACUACAAUAUCUGAAUUGAAAAGUUCCAUGAAGGCUGUCAACAGCAGAUUUGAGCAGGCAGAAGAAAUAAUCAGCAAACCUGAAAAUAGGAUCUUUGAAAUUAUCAAGUCUGUGGAGAAAAGAGAAAAAAGUGAAAAGCCUAAGGGACCUAUGGGGCAGUAUUCAAAAAACAAAAAUAUAUAUUACAGAGUCUCAGAAGGAGAAUACAGAGAGAAAUACAUGGCUUAUUUUAAGAAGUAACAGUAAGAAAUUUUCAAAUUUGAGGAAAAACAAGAAACGCAAACCCAAGAAACUCAAUAUAUUUCCAGUAUAAAAAUCCCACAGAAACCCACACAGAGACACAGUCUAAUCAAACUGUUGAAAGUCAAAAGAAAAUAUAGAAUUUUUAAAGAAGCAAAAUAAAAAUGAGUCAUCAUGUGCAAGGAAUCCUCAAUAAGAUUGGUGGGCCCCGAUCCACUCUGACUGGACUCCUUAAAAGAAGAGGAGAUAAGACUUGGAGACCUCAGAGGUGUGUGCACACAGACAGAUGACCACAUGAAGAGGCAGCCAGAGGGAAGCCGUCCUCAGGCCAAGAAGAGAGGCCCCAGAGAAAACCAACCAUGCCAGCACCUUGAACAUAGACUUGCAGCCUCCAGUACUGGGGGAAAAUAUAUUUUUGUUGUAUAUAUACAAAUAUAUUUUUGUUACACAAUCUGUAGUAUUUUGUGAUGACCCUAGAAAACUAAUAUAGCAAUCAGCAGUUUGGUUUGGAAAUGUUACUUUCAAGACCUUACUGGACCUUGGUGUGUAGAUGCUAACUAGGUCGUUGGAUUUGCAACACAGGGAAGGAACAUCACUGGACUGAUCAGUAAUUUUUGGAAUUUCCAGUUUGUAGAUGAUAUUUAAAGGAAUUGACAUGGAUACAUAAUGAAUAGAGAGACUGUACAGAGAAAUAGUAAGAAAGCCCAGUAACAAGUUUCUGAAAUUGUCAAUUAUAAUGAGCUCAUGCAUUGCAUUGGCAUAAAUUGGGGGAAAAUACAUAAUCCAAAUUGAGUUUAAAACUGUAUAUAAUAUUCUUUAAAUUUUUUUAAAUGACUGUUCCUUUCUUCAGACUAAGGUUUUGCAUUAUACAUAUUUCUCAUUUUUUUGCAAACUAAAAAUCUUGAAUUUAUAAUUUAUGUUUUUUACUUUGAAAUAUUCAUUUUAAAUAUAUCUUCCACAUAAAAUCCUAUUUUCUAAAAUAUACUUUUCUAAUCUUAACAGAGAAAACAUCACUCUCACGUAAUUAAAUAUGUUCUCUUGAGUCAAUAAAUUCAAGAAGAUUAUAUAAAUAUUUUAUUUAAAAUAAAUUCCAAAAGCACUUAUAUGAUUUAGUAAAAACUAUAUUAAAUUUUUAUUUCGAGGUAAUCUGGAAGAUACAUAUGCAUAUUCAUGAAUAACAAAUUGCUCAACUAUUCCUAUAUUAAACAUGAAUAAUAAGAAAAUAUUUACUACAUUUUUUUCUGAUCUCAAGUACUGCACUGCAGUUCGUCAAAUAGUACUAAAACCCUUAAAAAGAAAAAAAUUUAUUAUAAAGACUAAUGUCAUAAUGUAACAGUUUUGUAGACUGCUACUCUGAGUCAUAGCAGGAAUAGGUUGUUCAGUUUUUCAUCAAAUUUCUAACAACAUUUUAGGAAUCAGGUUCACUAUAUUCUGGUUGCCACUUCAAUCCAUUGCAUCUUGGGCUGCAAUUUCUACUACUCGUACUAGUAUGAUGAGGUUGAACAUUUACACAGUGCUUACAGAAAGCCAUGCAACUUUAUUACUCACAGAUAUGCAGCAAGGGAAAAUAGAAGCCUAGAAUUUAUGGCAAGCUGAUCACCCAAGGCUCAGGCAAACUGCCCAUGGAGAAUGGAUGGAUUCUCAUCUAUGUGUGCCCUAUUUCACAGUAGCUGAUGGACCUCGGAAAGCAGCCUGCCUUGGAUUUUACACCCCAGGGUGACGUGAAAUGUUGGGCUAAAACAUUGUAGGACAUCUUGUUAUAGGAAGAACUGGAACAGAGCCUGGCCUAUUUUGGCCAGUUCUAGCUUAUCACAAGAUGUGGCUUUUCCAGCAUGUUCUGCAACUAUUCUGGAAAACUACAAGUGAGAAAGGGGAAAUAACUGGGUCAGUCCAAGAGCUGAAGAAUUGUUCUGCACAUUUAUGUGAGAAAAUAUGGUAAUUAAUAUUUACUUAAUCCCUAUUAUAUUCUAAGCGUUAGUUAGCUUUGAGCACUUUCACACUGAUUUCAUAC